Molecule: non-coding RNA, 215 nt
Organism: Schizosaccharomyces pombe (fission yeast)
Lineage: Eukaryota; Fungi; Ascomycota; Schizosaccharomycetes; Schizosaccharomycetales; Schizosaccharomycetaceae
Source: the annotation of a GenBank genome assembly
UAGGAUACCAUGACCCAGCUCCAUUUUUUUUAACGAUGUGAGAAAAGGAAAUAUGGCAGUUUCGCGCAUAUGAGUCUUUGUAUAUUCAUCUAAGGGCUUUUGAAUGCUUUUAGCAAAAAUUCCCAAGCGUUUGUCAAGCAAUCGACUCAUAUAAACAAUUCCAUCACAUGCCAAACAAUCAAAGACUAAAUAUCUCAGUUGCUUCUUACCACCUG